UUUAUUUAUGUUGCAUCAUGACGUCAUCGAUUUUACGACGUCUGGUGGGCGGUCUCGCGAGUCGGCCAUGUUGGAUUUACCCGAGUGAGGAGUUGAUUUCAGGACAGACCUCCCGAUGUGGAUGUGGUAAACAUUUAAAUUAGUUUUUUAUUUGGUUUCAAUGCGCACUUUUAUUUUCCUGCUUGAAGUGGACACCCGGUCCUCGUUUUCAUUCUUUAACUGAUGUUUCAUGUCCUCGUUUUCAUCAGCGCUCUGAUUUGACAUUGGACUGGAUUGAAGAGUGCGUCAAAGAGUUAGUGUUUAUCACCCGGAAUCGAAUUGAUUUGCUUUUACAUUCCAGUGAAAAUGUUUGCUACCUCCAAUGAGUGCCGAGUCUGUCCGCAUG
Long non-coding RNA from Hippocampus comes (tiger tail seahorse), 385 nucleotides. RefSeq lists it as uncharacterized. The record is from RefSeq and is a predicted model, not a curated record. NCBI's taxonomy places the organism in Eukaryota, Metazoa, Chordata, Actinopteri, Syngnathiformes, Syngnathidae. The transcript has 3 exons.